This is a long non-coding RNA of Hevea brasiliensis (rubber tree), 1835 nucleotides long. RefSeq lists it as uncharacterized. Lineage: Eukaryota; Viridiplantae; Streptophyta; Magnoliopsida; Malpighiales; Euphorbiaceae. The transcript has 3 exons. The record is from RefSeq and is a predicted model, not a curated record.
CUCUCUCUCUCUAUAUGCACCGUCCCUCUGCUAUGAAACUUCACUAUUCUUGAUGAUCUCAAUUGAGAAACUUGGCUCAUCGCUCUUAAAUCUCAACCAAGAAACUGGUCUUUCACAAUCCCUGCAUUUCUAAAUGAAAAUUUCAUCUUGCACCCAAUAUUUUACACAUAAGUACUCGUUUGUUUCGCCCAUUUGCUCAAGGGAAAAAAGGAGAAGAAUUUUCCUCAUUUUUCUCCAGAGGAAAGGAAAUCUUACCAAAACUGCUCUGCCACAUCCCUCAAUUGUUCAGGCACAAGUUCUAUUGACAUGUCUAAUCUUCAAAAUGAUCCACUUUUGCAAGUGGAAACGACCUGUGGAUCCCUCCUUUAUGAAUUGCAAGUUUAUUAAAUUUUAAGAUAAAAGAUACAAUCUACUCCUUUGCUUUGUUUAGAUACAAAACUUUUCUUUUUCUUCUAUUCUAUCAUGAAAAUAAGAUCAUUUGGGAUGAGUUUGUGGAGUUAAAUACUGAUAGAGAUAGAAUGCUGCUUGAGCUUGAACAAGAGUGUCUUGAAGUAUACAGAAGAAAGGUGAACAAGAGUUCCUCAAUUUUCAUAAGCAGAAGCAACAUCAAUAUGCCAAUUAAGACUUCACAGAGAGAACUGGAUAUGAUGAUGGAAGCCGGUGCUACAGCUGUUGGUCUUGGACCACUUCAUCUGUGUGUUGAAACUGCAACAAUGGCACUUUUGGCAACUCUGAUGUUAUGGUCUGAUGCUCAGCAAUUGUCUAAUGCCUAUAUGCGUUUACAAGCAAGAUUUGGGAAAUAUUUUGCAUCUUACACUGCUCUAGCAUCUGUUAGAUUCAGAUAUAUCCCAAGAAAAUGGCUUAUAAGAACUAGAAGAUGAUACCUUGCUUUAGUAUAUGAUACAAGUAAGGAUGCAACAAAUUAUACCGUGUAAGUAACGGAAAGAAAGAAAUAAUUGCAAUAUUUGAAACCUAACUUUUGUUUUCAGUGUCAAUUUUUAUUGUGAUGUUAACUUUAUCAUAUAUUUGUUUUCAGUGUCAAUUUUUGUUUUCAGUGUCAAUUUUGUUAACCAUAACAAACAGGCAGAUUUGGUGUCUUCUAUUCUAUUGGUUGGCCUUCAGCAACUAAAAGGUCUACUUGGGAUCAAUCAUUUCAUCACCAAAGCUGAUGUAGUCUCUGUUCUGGAGUCUGUUUUCACAUCAAUAAACCAUCCAGUAAGCUCUAUUGCUCCAGUAAAUAGUUCAUCAAUCCAGGGGAUUUUCUUUGACAACUCAGAAAUUGGAAGAAAACCUUAUCUUCUUCAUUCUUUUCCCAGUACUUCUUUAUUUCAGAACAUUAAUCAGGGUCUUUAAACAAGUAUUUAGUGUUAAAUUAUGUACAUUUGGUAGAUUUUCACAAAUUUAACGAACCAAAAAUGUUACUAGAAGGUGCAAUGUGCUACCCUUAAAAUGUCUGAACUGCUACAACAUGCAGAUAAAUGUAAGUUAUAGGAAUUGCAUCCUAGUUUCCUGCCAUGUAUAGUAGGACUAGAUGUAGAAAUAAUAAAUAAUAGUCGUGUGGGUAAUAAGAAUAGAAUUAGUUAGGUGUCCACUAGUAUGUUAGAGGGAAAAGUUGUUAGGACAGUUACUGAGGUUGCAGUAGUUAUAGGGGCAGGAAUUUGAGUAUAAAGGGAGCUGGAGAAGAUCUUUGUAAGGCAUUCCAGAACUAAUAUCAAGGCAAAAUAUCUCUUUUCUCUUUUCUUCUCUUCCUCCUUCCUUUUCUUUCUCUAUUUCCUUUCUAAUUUCUACUAUUUUCUGUGAUUAAGAACUUGGUUGCGUGACAUUUCCUUGAUAAA